UACGGAGGGGGCUAGCGUUGUUCGGAAUUACUGGGCGUAAAGGGCGCGUAGGCGGCCAAUCAAGUCAGGCGUGAAAGGCCUGGGCUCAACCCGGGAACUGCGUUUGAUACUGUUUGGCUUGAGUACGGGAGAGGAUGGCGGAAUUCCCAGUGUAGAGGUGAAAUUCGUAGAUAUUCGGAAGAACACCAGUGGCGAAGGCGGCUCACUGGACCGGCAUUGACGCUGAGGUGCGAAAGCGUGGGGAGCAAACAGG
RNAcentral lists this ribosomal RNA (253 nucleotides) under uncultured bacterium. RNAcentral's name for it is "partial 16S ribosomal RNA". It matches the Rfam family "Bacterial small subunit ribosomal RNA", at positions 524 to 776 of the family's 1533-position model. The record is from RNAcentral.